This is a non-coding RNA of Camelina sativa (false flax), 1650 nucleotides long. The record is from RefSeq and is a predicted model, not a curated record. Lineage: Eukaryota; Viridiplantae; Streptophyta; Magnoliopsida; Brassicales; Brassicaceae.
UUGUCUGGAAUCUAGAUAGGAAACGACACUUUCCUUUUUUUUUUCUUUUUUUUUCUUAAAGCUGAACAUCUCCGAUCAAUCAACUUCGUCAAGCUUUCCAUGUUGAUUCCAGAAAAUUAGUUCUCUAUUUCAAUCUGUAUCCUUUUAAUCUUUCCAUAAAUCUGUUUUUUGGAGAGCUAUUCAAGGGUCAAAUAACGAUUGUUGUAAAAAAGUGGUGCUUUUCCAUUUUGUUUUAAUCAGCUAUCUAUCAGCAAUUAAUCAAGUGAGAGACAACAUCUGCCCAAUACUCGUAGUAUAUACCAAUCAUAUCACGGGGGAAUCAUCGAUUGUUACAGAUAAAAAUUACAAUCAGAUCGGUUUAUGUUAUAUCCUGAAAGAUCGAAUUUCUGGAAACGAUCAGGUAAAAUUUGCCUAUACACCUACUGGAAACUUCAGCCUUCGAGACUUUCAUCACGCUGUUAACAUCUUGCCUUUGGAUGCAUUUGUACCUGAGAUCGAUGAAUCGGGAGCCAUGUCUUGCGGAGGUGACCUGUUUGACAUCACAUAAUAUUGCUGAGCAAAAUUCUAGGAAGAUUCAUCAUGAUUGACAAAAUUCGUUUCGACCUUAGUUUUGAAAGGACAGAAUUGCAUUGCCAGAAGAGUGACAAUCUUUUAUGAUACACAAUUCUCAUACAAAAUAAAAGAUUUGAGGUAAACACCAAUUCUCAUGUGUACCUAUUUUUUUUGGAGUACCCCUGUUUCCUGUUGGAUAGAUUGAUUCUUCUAGAUGAACAGGAGAUAAUUUAGUUAAAUCUGUAAAAAGCCUUCCAAAAAUCCCUUUCACAUUGACACUAUCAACUUUUUCUUGAGUAGCAUGAGAAUUCUCAUUCACGAACACAUUAUCACUGGUAGUAGGCUCAGUAGGACACUUCCUCUUACUCUGUCGAUUUCCACAAUCAAAUCCAUUUCCUGACAAAUCUCUCUUAUUCCUCAUCCGUCACUUUCUUUUUCUUGCUAUCUAUCUCAUUAAAAAUAGUUGAAGGAAUAACUAACAAAUCCUAUAUGCAUUUUGAACGUAAAUGAAGGAAUAAUUUUCUGUAAUUGAGGAUCGAUGUAGACAUAAAUAAAAUCAUAGUAUGGAAAGAUUUUCGCUGUCUUGUUAGUGAUUUUCUUGUUUCUGAAAUGGUAAUAAUAUUUUCAUUUAAGUUAUUUAAUGUAUCAUAUAUUUAAGAGUAUCCCAUUUUUUCUUUAGACUAUAUUGAUACGAAUAUGGUAUAGUAUUUAUUUGAGAAAAUUCAUCAAAUUUUUUGUAGAUAUUGUAAGGUACAAUUUUCUCAUAUUAAACGUAAGCCUAUAUUUUCAUUAUCAUAUACACCUACGAAAUUAUCCAGAUAAAAUAUUAUUAUUAUGCUUUUAUUGUUGUAAAACACUUGUGGACUCUAUAGACCGGCCCGCUCACAGUCCGUUAGGACAUGGCCUUUUGGCCCAUGUACCGGUCCGCGCAUGUACGGCCCAUCGGCUAUUGCUUUACGGCCCAUGGCCAUUGCUUUACGGCCCAUGGCCUAUCCUAUGUACUCGUUUGGUUUAUGGGCUUUAGCCUUUGUACUCCUAUUAUAUAUACUUGUAAACCUCGACAUUCAUCAAUAAGACUAAGAGAUUUCGCUCCCUAAA